This 468-nucleotide ribosomal RNA is filed under the name uncultured bacterium. Its description in RNAcentral is "partial 16S ribosomal RNA". It matches the Rfam family "Bacterial small subunit ribosomal RNA", at positions 28 to 507 of the family's 1533-position model. The record is from RNAcentral.
GACGAACGCUGGCGGCGUGCUUAACACAUGCAAGUCGAACGGAAAGGCCCUGCUUUUGUGGGGUGCUCGAUUGGCGAACGGGUGAGUAACACGUGAGUAACCUGCCCUUGACUUUGGGAUAACUUCAGGAAACUGGGGCUAAUACCGGAUAGGAGCUCCUGCUGCAUGGUGGGGGUUGGAAAGUUUCGGCGGUUGGGGAUGGACUCGCGGCUUAUCAGCUUGUUGGUUGGGUAGUGGCUUACCAAUGCUUUGACGGGUAGCCGGCCUGAGAGGGUGACCGGCCACAUGGGGACUGAGAUACGGCCCAGACUCCUACGGGAGGCAGCAGUGGGGAAUAUUGCACAAUGGGCGGAAGCCUGAUGCAGCAACGCCGCGUGCGGGAUGACGGCCUUCGGGUUGUAAAAAGCUUUCGCCUGUGACGAAGCGUGAGUGACGGUAAUGGGUAAAGAAGCACCGGCUAACUACGUG